RNAcentral lists this ribosomal RNA (301 nucleotides) under uncultured bacterium. RNAcentral's name for it is "partial 16S ribosomal RNA". It matches the Rfam family "Bacterial small subunit ribosomal RNA", at positions 509 to 807 of the family's 1533-position model. The record is from RNAcentral.
CAGUAGCCGCGGUAAUACGGAGGAUCAAAGCGUUAUCCGGAAUCAUUGGGUUUAAAGGGUCCGUAGGCGGUCUUGUAAGUCAGUGGUGAAAGCCCAUCGCUCAACGGUGGAACGGCCAUUGAUACUGCAGGACUUGAAUUAUUGGGAAGUAACUAGAAUAUGUAGUGUAGCGGUGAAAUGCUUAGAGAUUACAUGGAAUACCAAUUGCGAAGGCAGGUUACUACCAAUUGAUUGACGCUGAUGGACGAAAGCGUGGGUAGCGAACAGGAUUAGAGACCCCUGUAGUCCCUGUCUCUUAUAC